GCGAGAGUGGCGGAAUUGGUAGACGCGCCAGACUUAGGAUCUGGUACUUCCAGUGUGUGGGUUCAAGUCCCACCCCUCGCA
RNAcentral lists this transfer RNA (81 nucleotides) under Hallerella porci. Its description in RNAcentral is "Fibrobacter sp. UWS4 tRNA-Leu". It matches the Rfam family "tRNA". From Rfam's summary of the family: Transfer RNA (tRNA) molecules are approximately 80 nucleotides in length. Their secondary structure includes four short double-helical elements and three loops (D, anti-codon, and T loops). Further hydrogen bonds mediate the characteristic L-shaped molecular structure. tRNAs have two regions of fundamental functional importance: the anti-codon, which is responsible for specific mRNA codon recognition, and the 3' end, to which the tRNAs corresponding amino acid is attached (by aminoacyl-tRNA synthetases). tRNAs cope with the degeneracy of the genetic code in two manners: having more than one tRNA (with a specific anti-codon) for a particular amino acid; and 'wobble' base-pairing, i.e. permitting non-standard base-pairing at the 3rd anti-codon position. RNAcentral also lists the same sequence under 1 other name. The record is from RNAcentral. Lineage: Bacteria; Pseudomonadati; Fibrobacterota; Fibrobacteria; Fibrobacterales; Fibrobacteraceae.